This 133-nucleotide ribosomal RNA is filed under the name Klebsiella pneumoniae. Its description in RNAcentral is "partial 23S ribosomal RNA". It matches the Rfam family "Bacterial large subunit ribosomal RNA", at positions 1 to 132 of the family's 2925-position model. Lineage: Bacteria; Pseudomonadati; Pseudomonadota; Gammaproteobacteria; Enterobacterales; Enterobacteriaceae. The record is from RNAcentral. RNAcentral also lists the same sequence under 1 other name.
GGUUAAGCGACUAAGCGUACACGGUGGAUGCCCUGGCAGUCAGAGGCGAUGAAGGACGUGCUAAUCUGCGAAAAGCGUCGGUAAGGUGAUAUGAACCGUUAUAACCGGCGAUGUCCGAAUGGGGAAACCCAGU